This 450-nucleotide long non-coding RNA is filed under the name Mytilus galloprovincialis (Mediterranean mussel). Lineage: Eukaryota; Metazoa; Mollusca; Bivalvia; Mytilida; Mytilidae. The record is from RNAcentral.
GGUUAUAAUAACCUUCCUGGCGUAUAAAAGUACCAGGAAGUUUAUUUGCGAGAAACCUGGACUUUAUCUGAUUUCUGCAUCUAUCGUUGCAGAAGCCAAUGACGCUCAGUACUACUUGUACCUAAACAAUAAUGCGGUUACAUUUACAUACGUUUUUUAUAACAGUAACAAUCCUUCUACAAUGCGAAAUGCCGGUACCAUUGUUCUUGCUCUGCAAUUACAUCCUAAUGACAGUGUGUGGGUGAAGAAUAGUGGUACCAUUAUGAUAUCCACUGGUAUUGUGUCCACAUUAUCAAUCGUUAAAGUGAAAUAAGAUUUACCGAACAGACAUUAUAGUUUAUACAUUUUUUUGUGAUUACGUACACUUUUUACAAAUAAAAGAUUUCAUUUUCAGUUACAUGUGUUUGAAAUAAACUAAUAAGACAAUUAUGGCUACUUUGUAUAUGAAAC